UACGUCCCUGCCCCUUUGUACACACCGCCCGUCGCUACUACCUAUUGAAUGGCUCGGUGAGGCCUUCGGACUGGCCCAGGGAGGUCGGCAACGACCACCCAGGGCCGGAAAGUUGGUCAAACCCGGUCAUUUAGAGGAAGUAAAAGUCGUAACAAGGUCUCCGUAGGUGAACCUGCGGAGGGAUCAUUACAAGACAACGCCCGGGCUUCGGCCUGGUUUUGUUCAUAACCCUUUGUUGUCCGACUCUGUUGCCUCCGGGGCGACCCUGCCUUCGGGCGGGGGCUCCGGGUGGACACUUCAAACUCUUGCGUAACUUUGCAGUCUGAGUAAACUUAAUUAAUAAAUUAAAACUUUUAACAACGGAUCUCUUGGUUCUGGCAUCGAUGAAGAACGCAGCGAAAUGCGAUAAGUAAUGUGAAUUGCAGAAUUCAGUGAAUCAUCGAAUCUUUGAACGCACAUUGCGCCCCCUGGUAUUCCGGGGGGCAUGCCUGUUCGAGCGUCAUUUCACCACUCAAGCCUCGCUUGGUAUUGGGCAACGCGGUCCGCCGCGUGCCUCAAAUCGUCCGGCUGGGUCUUCUGUCCCCUAAGCGUUGUGGAAACUAUUCGCUAAAGGGUGUUCGGGAGGCUACGCCGUAAAACAACCCCAUUUCUAAGGUUGACCUCGGAUCAGGUAGGGAUACCCGCUGAACUUAAGCAUAUCAAUAAGCGGAGGAAAAGAAACCAACAGGGAUUGCUCUAGUAACGGCGAGUGAAGCAGCAAUAGCUCAAAUUUGAAAUCUGGCGUCUUCGACGUCCGAGUUGUAAUUUGUAGAGGAUGCUUCUGAGUGGCCACCGACCUAAGUUCCUUGGAACAGGACGUCA
Molecule: ribosomal RNA, 861 nt
Filed under: Cladosporium herbarum
Lineage: Eukaryota; Fungi; Ascomycota; Dothideomycetes; Cladosporiales; Cladosporiaceae
Description: eukaryotic LSU rRNA
Rfam family: Eukaryotic small subunit ribosomal RNA (bases 1-189)
Source: RNAcentral